RNAcentral lists this transfer RNA (87 nucleotides) under Halorarum halophilum. RNAcentral describes it as "Halobaculum halophilum tRNA". It matches the Rfam family "tRNA". Rfam says of the family: Transfer RNA (tRNA) molecules are approximately 80 nucleotides in length. Their secondary structure includes four short double-helical elements and three loops (D, anti-codon, and T loops). Lineage: Archaea; Methanobacteriati; Methanobacteriota; Halobacteria; Halobacteriales; Haloferacaceae. The record is from Rfam by way of RNAcentral.
GGGCCCGUGGGAGAGUGGCCGAUUCCAACAGUCUCAGGAACUGUGCCGUAGGGCUAAACAUCGCUGGUUCGAAUCCAGCCGGGUCCA